UAGCCAUAAUUUCACCUCUCUAUCAGGUGGUUUGUGGUUAGGGCGGGGGUGGUACGCCAAUACCGUCCCCGCCCGCUU
This 78-nucleotide small RNA is filed under the name Spongiibacter sp. IMCC21906. Its description in RNAcentral is "Plasmid transferred anti-sense RNA". It matches the Rfam family "Plasmid transferred anti-sense RNA". The record is from Rfam by way of RNAcentral. Lineage: Bacteria; Pseudomonadati; Pseudomonadota; Gammaproteobacteria; Cellvibrionales; Spongiibacteraceae.